AACGAACGCUGGCGGCACGCUUAACACAUGCAAGUCGAACGAAGUAGCAAUACUUAGUGGCGGACGGGUGAGUAACGCGUAGGAACCUGCCUAUGGGUGGGGGAUAACUUUGGGAAACUAAAGCUAAUACCCCAUAAGUCGGAGACGAGAAAGGCGAAAGCAGCCGCUAGAUGGGCCUGGGUAAGAUUAGGUAGUUGGUGGGGUAAUGGCCUACCAAGCCGAUGAUCUUUAGCUGGUUUGAGAGGAUGAUCAGCCACACUGGGACUGAGACACGGCCCAGACUCCUACGGGAGGCAGCAGUGGGGAAUAUUGGACAAUGGGGGAAACCCUGAUCCAGCGAUGCCGCGUGAGUGAAGAAGGCCUUCGGGUUGUAAAGCUCUUUUGGUAGGGAAGAUAAUGACGGUACCUACAGAAUAAGCUCCGGCUAACUUCGUGCCAGCAGCCGCGGUAA
Molecule: ribosomal RNA, 451 nt
Filed under: uncultured bacterium
Lineage: Bacteria
Description: partial 16S ribosomal RNA
Rfam family: Bacterial small subunit ribosomal RNA
Source: RNAcentral